RNAcentral lists this transfer RNA (57 nucleotides) under Abronia chiszari. RNAcentral's name for it is "tRNA-Ser". Lineage: Eukaryota; Metazoa; Chordata; Lepidosauria; Squamata; Anguidae. The record is from RNAcentral.
AGAGAUGACAUAAGAACUGCUAAUUCCUAUACCUGAAGUUAAACCUCCAGCUCUCUC